This is a non-coding RNA of Pelobates cultripes (western spadefoot toad), 465 nucleotides long. The record is from the annotation of a GenBank genome assembly. Lineage: Eukaryota; Metazoa; Chordata; Amphibia; Anura; Pelobatidae.
UCCAGCUUGUUAUUCAGUUUAGAAAACUAGAUUGGAGCUAUAAUACCUCUUCGUGGACGCAAAGAGAGCAACAGAAAGACUGUGUUAGGAAAUCCCAAUGUCUUCUAAUUCCAAAUUGCCAGUUCUCUGAGCUUCACUCUGUGCAUUUGUCUGACACUAGCUGGCUUACUUUGACUUCUAUUGAAGGCUGCCUUUCUCUCAGCUGUGAUGUAUCCGCCUCUCUAUGGAGAAAUCCCUCAGGGUAUCUCCCUUCUUGCUGGUUUGAUCUCCCUGCUAUCCACUCGAUGAUAGCCUUUCCCAGUGUCUGAGUACUUCUCUGCCUCCCACUCUAAUAGUUUAGAAGCUCCUCUCUCCUGUGCAUCCCCCCAGUUGGUCACUGAUCACUGGCUCCUGAUUUGCCAGCCUCAAUUCUCUGCCUGUUUUGCUUUUUUAUCUUGUCACUCAGAGAAUAAUUUGCUGAGUUAC